GGAGAGGUGCGAGAGUGGUUGAAUCGAGCCGCCUGCUAAGCGGUUGAGGGGAGUGAUCUUCUCCGAGGGUUCGAAUCCCUCCCUCUCCGCCA
RNAcentral lists this transfer RNA (92 nucleotides) under Candidatus Eiseniibacteriota bacterium. RNAcentral describes it as "tRNA-Ser". It matches the Rfam family "tRNA". From Rfam's summary of the family: Transfer RNA (tRNA) molecules are approximately 80 nucleotides in length. Their secondary structure includes four short double-helical elements and three loops (D, anti-codon, and T loops). The record is from RNAcentral. Lineage: Bacteria; Candidatus Eiseniibacteriota.